AGUGAGUGGCGGACGGGUGAGUAACGCGUAAGCAAUCUGCCUUUGUGUGUCGGAAUAACAACCGGAAACAGUUGCUAAUACCGCAUAAUGCAGAGAGAUCGCAUGGUCUUUCUGCCAAAGGAUUUAGUCGCACGAAGAUGAGCUUGCGUCCGGAUUAGAUAGUUGGCGGGGUAACGGCCCACCAAGUCAACGAUCGGUACGCCGGACUGAGAGGUUGAACGGCCACAUUGGAACUGAGAUACGGUCCAGACUCCUACGGGAGGCAGCAGUGGGGAAUAUUGGGCAAUGGACGAAAGUCCUGACCCAGCGACGCCGCGUGAGGGAAGAAGGUCUUCGGAUUGUAAACCUUAGUCAACAGGGGCGAAGCAAGUGACGGUACCUGUGGAGGAAGCCACGGCUAACUACGUGCCAGCCGCCGC
This 419-nucleotide ribosomal RNA is filed under the name uncultured bacterium. Its description in RNAcentral is "bacterial SSU rRNA". It matches the Rfam family "Bacterial small subunit ribosomal RNA", at positions 90 to 518 of the family's 1533-position model. The record is from RNAcentral.